RNAcentral lists this ribosomal RNA (448 nucleotides) under uncultured bacterium. RNAcentral describes it as "partial 16S ribosomal RNA". It matches the Rfam family "Bacterial small subunit ribosomal RNA", at positions 328 to 793 of the family's 1533-position model. The record is from RNAcentral.
CUCCCAGACUCCUACGGGAGGCAGCAGUGGGGAAUAUUGCACAAUGGGGGAAACCCUGAUGCAGCGACGCCGCGUGAGUGAAGAAGUCUUUCGGUACGUAAAGCUCUAUCAGCAGGGAAGAUAAUGACGGUACCUGACUAAGAAGCCCCGGCUAAAUACGUGCCAGCAGCCGCGGUAAUACGUAUGGGGCAAGCGUUAUCCGGAUUUACUGGGUGUAAAGGGAGCGUAGGCGGCAGGGCAAGCCUGAUGUGAAAGCCCGGGGCUCAACCCCGGGACUGCAUUGGGAACUGCCCCGCUCGAGUGCCGGAGGGGCAGGCGGAAUUCCUAGUGUAGCGGUGAAAUGCGUAGAUAUUAGGAGGAACACCGGUGGCGAAGGCGGCCUGCUGGACUGUAACUGACGUUGAGGCUCGAAAGCGUGGGGAGCAAACAGGAUUAGAUACCCCCGUAG